Molecule: ribosomal RNA, 301 nt
Filed under: uncultured bacterium
Lineage: Bacteria
Description: partial 16S ribosomal RNA
Rfam family: Bacterial small subunit ribosomal RNA
Source: RNAcentral
CAGUCGCCGCGGUAAUACGAAGGGUGCAAGCGUUACUCGGAGUUACUGGGCGUAAAGCGUGCGUAGGUGGUGGUUUAAGUCCGUUGUGAAAGCCCUGGGCUCAACCUGGGAAUUGCAGUGGAUACUGGAUCACUAGAGUGUGGUAGAGGAUAGUGGAAUUUCCGGUGUAGCAGUGAAAUGCGUAGAGAUCGGAAGGAACAUCUGUGGCGAAGGCGACUAUCUGGGCCAACACUGACACUGAGGCACGAAAGCGUGGGGAGCAAACAGGAUUAGAGACCCCUGUAGUCCCUGUCUCUUAUAC